UACGGGGGGGGCAAGCGUUGUUCGGAAUUACUGGGCGUAAAGGGCGCGUAGGCGGUUCGCUAAGUUGGAUGUGAAAACCCGGGGCUCAACUCCGGGCCUGCAGCCGAUACGGGCAGACUAGAGUUCGGCAGGGGAGACUGGAAUUCCUGGUGUAGCGGUGAAAUGCGCAGAUAUCAGGAGGAACACCGGUGGCGAAGGCGGGUCUCUGGGCCGAUACUGACGCUGAGGAGCGAAAGCGUGGGGAGCAAACAGG
This 253-nucleotide ribosomal RNA is filed under the name uncultured bacterium. Its description in RNAcentral is "partial 16S ribosomal RNA". It matches the Rfam family "Bacterial small subunit ribosomal RNA", at positions 524 to 776 of the family's 1533-position model. The record is from RNAcentral.